AUGACGUAUGCGGCACGAGCUACAUGUUACGGAACGGAGAGAUAACCUGGCAUUAAACAGCACUUCCCCACAGCUCAGAUCCAGCAUCAUGAAAAAGCAUAUCCCAGCAGCACCUGUCACUCACGCCCAGGAGUGCUGCUUUGAGACAGACACCCGUCUGCGACUGCGCGGGUGUUGCAAAAUGAAAGGGACUAAGAGAAAGGAUCGUAUAAACACAAAGGAUAAUACAAGAAUGAAGUUUGAUCACUCCCAGGUGGCAGAUCCUAAUUAUCCUCGACAGCAGAAGGAUCGGCGGUGGCUGCGGAGUCGGGUGGAAACCCCUUCACGGUGGGGUGGUGUGGCCAAGCCGUUUUACAGCACAGACGGACGAUGAUGAAAGUGAGAGAACGCGGGCCCUUCGGCCUGACCCACAGCGGGAGCUAGACUGGCCGUUCAGAUCACCUGCUCUCUACAAUCCUGCUCUGGGCCUCAAAGUGUUGGCAAUAUAGGGCAACUCAGAGCCUCAAUGACAAGCAUGUAAACACUGCCCCCUUUAUAGUAGCAGAGCACAAGGAGUGGGCAGUAAAUUACCAAAACCACGGCA
Long non-coding RNA from Carassius carassius (crucian carp), 583 nucleotides. RefSeq lists it as uncharacterized. The record is from RefSeq and is a predicted model, not a curated record. The transcript has 2 exons. Lineage: Eukaryota; Metazoa; Chordata; Actinopteri; Cypriniformes; Cyprinidae.